This 53-nucleotide non-coding RNA is filed under the name unclassified sequences. Its description in RNAcentral is "eL15-Euryarchaeota ribosomal protein leader". It matches the Rfam family "eL15-Euryarchaeota ribosomal protein leader". The record is from RNAcentral.
CGGGAUACGUCCCGUGUUGAAGGAAUGUAGCCCUCUUUGGGCCGAACCUCAGG